GUCCACGCCGUAAACGAUGGGUGCUAGGUGUGGGGGGUGUCGACUCCCUCCGUGCCGAAGCUAACGCAUUAAGCACCCCGCCUGGGGGAGUACGGCCGCAAGGCUAAAACUCAAAGGAAUUGACGGGGGCCCGCACAAGCAGCGGAGCAUGUGGUUUAAUUGGACGCGACGCCAAGAACCUUACCAAGGCUUGACAUGGUCGGGAAAAACGUGGAAACACGUUCCUCCUUCGGGACUCGAUCACAGGUGGUGCAUGGCUGUCGU
RNAcentral lists this ribosomal RNA (264 nucleotides) under uncultured bacterium. RNAcentral describes it as "partial 16S ribosomal RNA". It matches the Rfam family "Bacterial small subunit ribosomal RNA", at positions 793 to 1055 of the family's 1533-position model. The record is from RNAcentral.